CAGACUUACAUACCUUCACUAGGACUGAGACUACACCACAGACUGACAUGCCUUCACUAGGACUGAGACUACACCACAGACCUACAUACAUUCACUAGGACUGAGACUACACCACAUCCUGACAUACAUUCACUAGGACUGAGACUACACCACAGACUGAUACUAGGACUGAGACUACACCACAGACUGAUACUAGGACUGAGACUACACUACAGACUGACAUACCUUCACUAGGACUGAGACUACACCACAGACUGAUACUAGGACUGCCAUUAAAUCUCCUGUUGAUCUAUACAUCUCUUUCUGUUUCCAUCCUUGUUCCCCCAUUUAUUUUGUGUCUCUCAGCUGCUCCUGCUAGUCAGACCCAACAAUCAGGACACGCUAGCAAACAUUGCACCGAAUCAGAGCACAUCAUCCAACAACAGGACCCAAUCAGAAUAUAGUACCCAACACCUUGGGCCAAUCGCUUGAACGUUACUCUCAGAACAACCAAUCAUAUUGCAGACUCCUAAACCCAACCACAUCCUAGACCUCGAGUCUACAAGUGCAGCGAUUGACCAAUCAGGGCUAAAUGUACUCUACUUGUGGUGAUGCUCCACAACUUGUCUUCUAUUUUAAAUCUCCUUUUCUACGGGGAAGAGGACUGUCUGAGGCACCGCCAUGUUUUCGCCACUCUCCAUUGUAGUCCUCUUGAGUGGCUUGUAGAUGGUCCAAUGUAGUCCUCUUGAGUGAUGGGCCAAUUUUAAACCCAACCUGAUCUCUUACCACCACAAUGCAGCACUUCUCUAUAUCCUCUUGGAGGGCUGAAAAGACUGUAUAAGCAUGAGUUGUAUAAUAUAGAAAGAACCCAAGCCCUCAUCUUCAGUGUUUUGCAGUAUGCAGGGAAGCACUAUGUGUAAUCAAUAUGAUGGAAGGGUCUGGGAAGAGCAUUAAAGGCUUUGCACAAAGGGUUGUUUUUUGACCAAGGACGUCUCUAAUUUUGGCGAGCUGAGUUUCCACCAUUUUGUUGCCUCUCAUUUGGCUCAUACAGAGCUGAGCGCUAAUGAAUGGGGAAGUGCGUAGCAGUAGGGGUCAGGGUUGGGGUCUUUCUAUUUCAAUUCCAGUCAAUUAAUUAAACCCAAUUCCAAAUUUUCUUUAAAAAGAUUGGUUUAAAAUUGUGUGAGUCACAGGUGUGUUUUUGACGGCUGUGUUUAAUUGUAAUGUGUUUUCUCUGGUUUACAUGUCGCUGAAUGUUUGCAGGUGGUGUCCUGUCUGUGCCUCAAGUGGAGUUUGAAGUAGAAUAUGGAAGUCAGUCAUCUGAUUGGCUUUGAGAAGGGCUGUCUUCUCCUCAGUAUAACUUACUGCUCUUUUGUUUUAAUGAUUCCAAGCUUAGAGCCUUAGUCCAAUGGCUGCAAAGCAUGGUUGGGGUCGAUUACAUUUUUCAAUUGUCGAUUUUAGAAUGCAAAUUCAUAAGUUAAAAUAUCCUGAUUUUUAAAAAAAAAAAAGUCAUUUUCAAUUUGACCCCUCAACCCUGCUGCAAACAGUUUCCUCUUCUCAUUUCAGAAAUCAUAUGACCCUGUUUGACUUACCAACUGAAAAGGAUUGAAUGUGAAAUGAACCUGUAUAUUCCUACCCUCUGCUGGAUAUGAGGAUGCACAGUUAUGUUGUGUUAGUCAGUCAUGAGUAUCAAUAUUGUGUACAUGUAGGGGUGUGUUUAUGUGGGAUGGGGGUGUGGACAUACUCCUCUCCCCCUAGACCCCGAUUCCUCCUAAGAGUGGGGUGGGAACUUGGGUACAGUCCAGUUUCUCUGGAGCCUCAUUGGGACUGUGAAUGUUCUUUAUUUCACUGUUGUGCUGUUGUCUACAAGUGUUCCAAUAAAGGCUACAACUUAGAGGCUGCAGUGUUUACAUUGAUAAUCAAGAUACAAAUGUCCAUCUUAUUUUCAAGUACUUUAUUUUCUUUAAAAAUAAAUGUCAAAUAUAUUAGCUGCAUUUGCCCUAGUUGGCCCGGUACCAUGGAACCAAUGGGGAAAGUCCCAGGGAAAGGCAGGAAAACAGUGUGUGACUUCCAGGGAAUACAGUCAGAACAAGCCACACUCAUCUCCUAUUGGUCAGUAGACCUUCCAAUAGUCUUUGACCGCUUUGUUUCUUUGUCUCUGAACAGAUGGAACACUGAUCUACAUAGUAGUUAUGACGACAACGGAAAUAUAGCUUUUGAUGACUUUUUGGGGCAGUUUUCAGUUGACAUGAUACUUUUUGAAAAGUGCAUCCUUCCUGCUCCCCCUCACUAAUCAGGAACCACUGUGUGUGUGUGUGUGUGUGUGUGUGUGUGAACUGUGCUAUCUGAGGGGGAGGGGGGGAGGGGGGUGUUGAACUGUGCAAGAAAUCUAUGAUUUCCUCAGAGGGGAAAAAGGAAUGAUGAAUGUUGAAAGUAUUCUAACAGGGCUUUGGUCACGGGGCAAUGACCCGUAGUCUGUUGCAGGGUCAGCCCAGGAACGUGGAUAUGAAGACACUGGUGUCCAGAUUGAGCGUGGCGUGCCACCAGCGGUCAGGGAAAUACAGCACCUAUCAGCAACACAAAGUCAGUGACAUUGGAGUGACAAGUCAUUAAUAUCUUCCUGCUUUGCCUUGGUAAGGCAAGAAAUAAUCUGAAUGCAGCCCAUCAUUCCAAUUCAGUGAAAACAAUUGCUCAAAAGUCAUGUUUGCCUCAAACGUAGUGACCCCAUGGUUGAUUAAAAAAUAUUAAAAGUGUUUAAAAUAUUCCAUAGUUGAAAUUUCAAAAAGAAAUAUGGCCUCAAAAGUAAAUUUAGCUCAUGUUAGUGACCCAUGGUUGAUAAAUGUGUUUAACAUUUCAUGGUGGAAAUUCCUCCAAAUGAUGACCCCUCUGAUUGUUAUCCUCAUUCUAUGUUGGAAAAUGCAUACAAC
Long non-coding RNA from Oncorhynchus tshawytscha (Chinook salmon), 2903 nucleotides. Lineage: Eukaryota; Metazoa; Chordata; Actinopteri; Salmoniformes; Salmonidae. The record is from Ensembl.